GCAAAUGCGGUGAUCGGGUUGUGUGGCACGUGCGACGCCGCCCUCUUGUUCGAGAAGCCGGCGGUAGUCGAAGCAGAGAUCCGGGGGAUUAGGGAAACGUGCGGCCCAUGGCUGCAUAGGCCGUGAUGGGUCGAUGGCCAGAUCGGCAGGAUGGUUGUGUGUUGAACCAAUAGUCAUGUUCUCGGGUUCUCCAUGAGUAGAGAACCUGAGAAUGAUCAAUUGCAACAGGCGUGAAGUGGUUGCUAACUACCACCCGCCGGCACCUACAGGAUCUGAGAUACCUGUGGGUGCCGGCUUACAGCGAUAAGGUCGUCAGGGCUUACACCGCCAGCGCGCGCUCACGCAGCUCGCUGUUGAGGAUGCGGUCGUUCUCGCUGUAAUCGACCGGGCAGUCGAUCACGUGCACACCUGGGGUCUUGAUGCAGUGCUCCAGCAGCGGCAGCAGGCCUUCGGCGCUUUCCACGCGGUGGCCGUUGGCGCCGUAGGCUUCGGCAUACUUGACGAAGUCCGGGUUGCCGUAGUCCAGGCCGAAAUCGGUGAAGCCCAUGUUGGCCUGCUUCCAGCGGAUCAUGCCGUAGCCGUCGUCACGCAGGAUCACCACGGUGAUGUGCAUGCCCAGACGUACUGCAGUCUCCAAUUCCUGGCUGUUCAUCAUGAAGCCGCCGUCACCACACACCGAGAUUACCGGGCGGUCCGGGUGCACCAGAUGCGCAGCCAUUGCCGAUGGCAGGCCGGCGCCCAUGGUCGCCAGGGCGUUGUCCAGCAGCACGGUGUUUGGCUUGUGCGCUUUGUAGUUGCGGGCGAACCAGAUCUUGUAGAUGCCGUUGUCCAGGGCGACGAUGCCUUCGGACGGCAGUACACGACGGAUGUCAGCCACCAUGCGCUGUGGGUAGACCGGGAAGCGGUCGUCGUCGGCGCCUUCGGCGAUCUGUGCUUCGUUGGCUUCACGGAUGGCCAUCAGGCGGGUGAAGUCCCAGUGCGACGUGUCGUUCAGUGCUUCACUGAUCUGCCACACGGCGUUGGCGAUGUCGCCGAUCACUUCUACUUGCGGGAAGUACACAGCAUCGACUUCGGCAGAGCGGAAGUUGAUGUGGAUGACUUCGGUGCCGCCACGGACCAUGAAGAACGGCGGCUUCUCGAUCACAUCGUGGCCGAUGUUGAUGAUCAGGUCGGCGGCUUCGACGGCGCGGUGAACGAAGUCGCCCGACGACAGCGCAGCGUUGCCGAGGAAGCGCGGGUGGCGCUCGUCGACCACGCCUUUACCCAUGUCGCCUUGGUGAGCCUUUACCUCACCAACUAGCUAAUCCUACGCAGGCUCAUCUGAUAGCGCGAGGCCCGAAGGUCCCCCGCUUCCCCCUUAUAGGGCGUAUGCGGUAUUAGCAUGAGUUUCCCCAUGUUGUCCCCCACUACCAGGUAGAUUCCUACGCGUUACUCACCCGUCCGCCGCUCUACUCAGUCCGAAGACCUUUCGCGCUCGACUUGCAUGUGUUAGGCCUGCCGCCAGCGUUCAAUCUGAGCCAGGAUCAAAC
Molecule: ribosomal RNA, 1529 nt
Filed under: Pseudomonas putida DOT-T1E
Lineage: Bacteria; Pseudomonadati; Pseudomonadota; Gammaproteobacteria; Pseudomonadales; Pseudomonadaceae
Description: Ribosomal RNA small subunit
Source: RNAcentral